Molecule: long non-coding RNA, 772 nt
Filed under: Helianthus annuus (common sunflower)
Lineage: Eukaryota; Viridiplantae; Streptophyta; Magnoliopsida; Asterales; Asteraceae
Description: hypothetical non coding rna
Source: RNAcentral
AACCGCCACCAAUCUUUGAUUCUCUCUCUCGAAGAACAACUCUUCUUCAAAUUAUCCACCUUAUUCUUACACUGCUCCACACUCUUCGACUGAUUCUCACACCUCUCCCUAACCGCAGUGGAUACCUCUUCCCAAUCCCUAACCCCCAAAUUUCCACGGUUCAAUUGAACAAACUUCUCCAAAUAAGCAUCUAACAAGCACGCAAUCGCUGCGUCACUCCACUCUUCUCGAUCCUUCCUGUAAUCCGACGAAUUACUCACGAUUUUCACCUUCUUAUUGUAACUGUACGGCAGUGAACGGAGGUGGAGUAAAGGUGUUAGUGAACGUGUUUGGUUAGGGUUUGCAGCGGUCGGGGUUCAGGUAGUCGGAGAUGGUGGUUCUACGAUUGCCCCUCAAUUCAGCAUCUAAUCACAUUCGAUGUCCCUCAUUUAGGUUUGUCGAGAUGUGGAAAGAGUUGCAGGCUUUGGUGGAUGAAUUAUUUGCACCCAAAUGUGAAACCUGAUGGUCAAAGAUGGCUAAACUAUUCCACUCUAAACAACCAUCGCUGCAGAGGACUAUCGGUGACAUAAAAACCUGGGAUUUCUCUGGAUAAAGCACAGAUCCAAGAAGGUGGCUUUGGACUGGGAAACAUGGAAUGGCUUUAAGUUAUACAAGGUUGGUUGGUAGAAAAAUGUCUGUACUGGUGAUUUAGUUAUGGUGGCAAUGUAAUGGUGUGUAAUGUAUGACUAGUACUCUGCUAAGUCUUUUAAUUUGAGCAAUAAAAUUUGGUUGA